CCCACCUGACUCCAUUCCGAACUCAGAAGUGAAACGAAAUAGCGCCGAUGGUAGUGUGGGGUUUCCCCAUGUGAGAGUAGGACAUCGCCAGGU
Molecule: ribosomal RNA, 93 nt
Filed under: Vibrio parahaemolyticus VPTS-2010
Lineage: Bacteria; Pseudomonadati; Pseudomonadota; Gammaproteobacteria; Vibrionales; Vibrionaceae
Source: RNAcentral